GAGUUUGAUCAUGGCUCAGGAUGAACGCUGGCGGCGUGCCUAAUACAUGCAAGUCGAGCGAACAGACGAGGAGCUUGCUCCUCUGACGUUAGCGGCGGACGGGUGAGUAACACGUGGAUUAACCUACCUAUAAGACUGGGAUAACUUCGGGAAACCGGAGCUAAUACCGAAUAAUAUAAUUGAACCGCAUGGUUCAAUAGUGAAAAACGGUUUUGCUGUCACUUAUAGAUGGAUCCGCG
RNAcentral lists this ribosomal RNA (239 nucleotides) under uncultured microorganism. RNAcentral's name for it is "partial 16S ribosomal RNA". It matches the Rfam family "Bacterial small subunit ribosomal RNA", at positions 9 to 235 of the family's 1533-position model. The record is from RNAcentral.